CGGAAACGAGUUAUCUGAACCUUCGGGGAACGAUAACGGCGUCUAGUGUUGGACGGGUGAGUAAUGCCUAGGAAAUUGCCCUGAUGCGGGGGAUAACCAUUGGAAACGAUGGCUAAUACCGCAUGAUGCCUACGGGCCAAAGAGGGGGACCUUCGGGCCUCUCGCGUCAGGAUAUGCCUAGGUGGGAUUAGCUAGUUGGUGAGGUAAGGGCUCACCAAGGCGACGAUCCCUAGCUGGUCUGAGAGGAUGAUCAGCCACACUGGAACUGAGACACGGUCCAGACUCCUACGGGAGGCAGCAGUGGGGAAUAUUGCACAAUGGGCGCAAGCCUGAUGCAGCCAUGCCGCGUGUAUGAAGAAGGCCUUCGGGUUGUAAAGUACUUUCAGUCGUGAGGAAGGCGGCGUCGUUAAUAGCGGCGUUGUUUGACGUUAGCGACAGAAGAAGCACCGGCUAACUCCGUGCCAGCAGCCGCGGUAAUACGGAGGGUGCGAGCGUUAAUCGGAAUUACUGGGCGUAAAGCGCAUGCAGGUGGUUUGUUAAGUCAGAUGUG
This 550-nucleotide ribosomal RNA is filed under the name Vibrio sp. BACT-V1. Its description in RNAcentral is "bacterial SSU rRNA". It matches the Rfam family "Bacterial small subunit ribosomal RNA", at positions 63 to 596 of the family's 1533-position model. The record is from RNAcentral. Lineage: Bacteria; Pseudomonadati; Pseudomonadota; Gammaproteobacteria; Vibrionales; Vibrionaceae.